UGCGAUCUGCGCCUCUCGACAGGAUCUCGAACCCUGGGGCCUUAAUUGAUCCAAAGGGAGCUGUCCCUGACCGGACCCGUGGGUCCGGACAUAUGGCGCCCACCUACGUUGUAGGUUCCCAGGAUCAAUACAUCCAUCGGUUGCCGUGGAUCGCAC
Molecule: non-coding RNA, 156 nt
Filed under: Hoeflea sp.
Lineage: Bacteria; Pseudomonadati; Pseudomonadota; Alphaproteobacteria; Hyphomicrobiales; Rhizobiaceae
Description: 6S RNA
Rfam family: 6S / SsrS RNA
About the family: E. coli 6S RNA was the first non coding RNA to be sequenced, but its function was unknown until recently. It consists of 184 nucleotides that fold into an extended hairpin structure with a large single-stranded internal bulge.
Source: RNAcentral